Molecule: non-coding RNA, 297 nt
Organism: Pelobates cultripes (western spadefoot toad)
Lineage: Eukaryota; Metazoa; Chordata; Amphibia; Anura; Pelobatidae
Source: the annotation of a GenBank genome assembly
CACACGCAGAGAGUCAGACAUGCUCAGUUACAUGAGACAGUCACACACACACACACACAGUUACAGGCAGACAGUCACACAUGCUCAGUUACAGGCAGACUUUCACAGAGCCAAACACACAGUUAAAAGCAGACAGUCACAAACAGUUACAGGCACACAGUCACACACACAGUCACAAGCAGACAAUCACACAUACUCCAUUACAAGCAGACAGUCCUACAAACUCCAUUACAGGCAUGCAGACAUUCAUGCAUGAUGAUAGGCACACACACUCAGUUAGAGGCAGAUAGUCACACA